GUCAAAGGCCAAAACGCAACCUGUGUUUAGCUUCAGAGGCACAGAGAUUUCUAUCUCCCCACAGACCCUUGAGACACGGAGUGCUUUGAGGCGCACUUGGACUUUUCAGCAUGACAAUGACCCUACGCACAAGGCCAAGUUGACCCUCCAGUGGUUACAUCAGAAGGUGAAGGUUAUUUAGUGGCAAUCACAGUCUCCAGACCUUAAUAUCAAUGAGCCAUUUUGAGGAAAUCUCAAACGUGCAGUUCAUGCAAGACAACCAAAGACUUGAAAUUU
Pelobates cultripes (western spadefoot toad) is the source of this 276-nucleotide non-coding RNA. Lineage: Eukaryota; Metazoa; Chordata; Amphibia; Anura; Pelobatidae. The record is from the annotation of a GenBank genome assembly.